This 1391-nucleotide ribosomal RNA is filed under the name Plantibacter cousiniae (nom. nud.). RNAcentral's name for it is "bacterial SSU rRNA". It matches the Rfam family "Bacterial small subunit ribosomal RNA". Lineage: Bacteria; Bacillati; Actinomycetota; Actinomycetes; Micrococcales; Microbacteriaceae. The record is from RNAcentral.
UGCAGUCGACGAUGAAGCCCAGCUUGCUGGGUGGAUUAGUGGCGAACGGGUGAGUAACACGUGAGUAACCUGCCCUUGACUCUGGGAUAAGCGUUGGAAACGACGUCUAAUACCGGAUACGAGCUUCCACCGCAUGGUGAGUUGCUGGAAAGAAUUUUGGUCAAGGAUGGACUCGCGGCCUAUCAGCUUGUUGGUGAGGUAAUGGCUCACCAAGGCGACGACGGGUAGCCGGCCUGAGAGGGUGACCGGCCACACUGGGACUGAGACACGGCCCAGACUCCUACGGGAGGCAGCAGUGGGGAAUAUUGCACAAUGGGCGAAAGCCUGAUGCAGCAACGCCGCGUGAGGGACGACGGCCUUCGGGUUGUAAACCUCUUUUAGCAGGGAAGAAGCGAAAGUGACGGUACCUGCAGAAAAAGCACCGGCUAACUACGUGCCAGCAGCCGCGGUAAUACGUAGGGUGCAAGCGUUGUCCGGAAUUAUUGGGCGUAAAGAGCUCGUAGGCGGUUUGUCGCGUCUGCUGUGAAAUCCCGAGGCUCAACCUCGGGUCUGCAGUGGGUACGGGCAGACUAGAGUGCGGUAGGGGAGAUUGGAAUUCCUGGUGUAGCGGUGGAAUGCGCAGAUAUCAGGAGGAACACCGAUGGCGAAGGCAGAUCUCUGGGCCGCUACUGACGCUGAGGAGCGAAAGGGUGGGGAGCAAACAGGCUUAGAUACCCUGGUAGUCCACCCCGUAAACGUUGGGCGCUAGAUGUGGGGACCAUUCCACGGUUUCCGUGUCGUAGCUAACGCAUUAAGCGCCCCGCCUGGGGAGUACGGCCGCAAGGCUAAAACUCAAAGGAAUUGACGGGGGCCCGCACAAGCGGCGGAGCAUGCGGAUUAAUUCGAUGCAACGCGAAGAACCUUACCAAGGCUUGACAUAUACGAGAACGGGCCAGAAAUGGUCAACUCUUUGGACACUYGUAAACAGGUGGUGCAUGGUUGUCGUCAGCUCGUGUCGUGAGAUGUUGGGUUAAGUCCCGCAACGAGCGCAACCCUCGUUCUAUGUUGCCAGCACGUAAUGGUGGGAACUCAUGGGAUACUGCCGGGGUCAACUCGGAGGAAGGUGGGGACGACGUCAAAUCAUCAUGCCCCUUAUGUCUUGGGCUUCACGCAUGCUACAAUGGCCAGUACAAAGGGCUGCAAUACCGUAAGGUGGAGCGAAUCCCAAAAAGCUGGUCCCAGUUCGGAUUGAGGUCUGCAACUCGACCUCAUGAAGUCGGAGUCGCUAGUAAUCGCAGAUCAGCAACGCUGCGGUGAAUACGUUCCCGGGCCUUGUACACACCGCCCGUCAAGUCAUGAAAGUCGGUAACACCCGAAGCCAGUGGCCUAACCGCAAGGAUGGAGCUUCUAAG